Molecule: long non-coding RNA, 876 nt
Organism: Oncorhynchus tshawytscha (Chinook salmon)
Lineage: Eukaryota; Metazoa; Chordata; Actinopteri; Salmoniformes; Salmonidae
Source: Ensembl
GGGAGAAGGAGGAGAGGCGGGAGGAGAAGGGAGAGGCAGGGAGAAGGAGGAGAGGCGGGAGGAGAAGGGAGAGGCAGGGAGAAGGAGGAGAGGCGGGGGAGAAGGGGGAGAGGCGGGAGGAGAAGGGAGAGGCAGGGAGAAGGAGGAGAGGCGGGAGGAGAAGGGAGAGGCAGGGAGAAGGAGGAGAGGCGGGAGGAGAAGGGAGAAGGGGGAGAGGCCGGAGGAGAAGGGAGAGGCAGGGAGAAGGAGGAGGCAGGGAGAAGGAGGAGAGGCGGGAGGAGAAGGGAGAAGGGGGAGAGGCGGGAGGAGAAGGGAGAGGCAGGGAGAAGGAGGAGAGGCGGGAGGAGAAGGGGGAAGGGGAGAGGCCGGAGGAGAAGGGAGAGGCAGGGAGAAGGAGGAGAGGCGGGAGGAGAAGGGAGAAGGGGGAGAGGCCGGAGGAGAAGGGAGAGGCAGGGAGAAGGAGGAGGCAGGGAGAAGGAGGUGAGGCGGGAGGAGAAGGGAGAAGGGGGAAAGGCGGGAGGAGAAAGGGGAAGGGGAAGAGGCCGGAGGAGAAGGGAGAGGAAGGAAUAGAGGAGGAGGCAGGGGAAGGGGAGGCAGGGAGAAGGGGAGAGGUGGGAGGAGUAGGGGGAGGCAGGGAGAAGGGGGAGGCAGGGAGAAGAGGAGGCAGGGGGAAGGGGAGAGGUGGGGGGAGAAGGGGGAGGCAGGUGAUAGUGGGCUCUACCUGAGCUCAGAGUAAUGGAUCACAGAGAGGUCUAUGGAUGGACAACUAACUGCAGGUUUGACACCGCUGGAAGGAUAACCCACGUAACAUCACCAGCUGGGGUAGUUCAUGACUUUCACAGAGAAUAUGUUCAGGUAGCUGGAGUUAGCUGCUGG